UGGAAAGUGUUUUUAUCCUCCUCCUCCUUGAUAGAGCCAGCGACGAGCAGAAACCUAACACCAUCACCAGUCCACCGCCACCGUCUAAACAGCCCACCACCGCCACCACCUUCUUCUUCUCUAAAAGUAAAAGCAAUACCAGCUUUUUCAGUCAUAGAGAAGAGGAAUUUCGAUGAAAAUGGCUGACUAGAAAGGGACUUGUUCUCGUAUUUGCUAGGUUCAACUUUGGAAAGGAACAGCCACUCAGUGAUACACGGAAGUGUUUCUUUUGGAUAGGGUUUUGCUGAUUGUCUUUGGGUUGGCUGGUCAGUUAUUCUCUAAUAUCAUUUUUAGCAACAUUCAAGGUUCCAGAGGUAUGACCAGAAUUAGUCCGAAAAAGGAAAAGCAUGAGAAUGGGAAUGAGGGCACUUCAGCCCGAACAAGACCUUUCACAUUCGAGGAGAUUAUGCUGAGAAGGAGAAAGAAUAAAUCAAGUUCAGAAGCGGAAGCUGAAGAGUCAGAGAAUCUUUUGGUGAAGGAAAAUGAUGUAACAAUUCCAAAUCAUUCUGAACUCGGUGAAGCUCAUGAAAAAAUCAAGACUAAAGCUUCAGACGAUAGUGAGAAGAUCAGUUCCACAAGGGAACAUGAGAGUACCUCUGUGGAGGAGGACCAGUUAGGUAGAAAAGAUAAUGAAAAUUUUGAUGCUAAAAGCUACUUAGUGGCGGAGAAACUAGACAAAGAGGUCAGUGAGAGGACUAAAGAGGAGAAGAGUGAAAUAGGUAGUCGUGUCAGUAGUAGAAAUGAGGAAGUUACGUCUGAGUUAGAAAAUAAAACUGAGAAAGAUACUACAAGUAGAGUUGAAGGGGAUAAGAAGGAAAAACAUAGUCAUCACCGAAGCAGAAAUGAGGAGAGAUUAAAAGAUAACUUGGAGAAUGAGCCUGACAAAGUUACAAAAAAUAAAGGUAAAAGGGAUAAAAAUGAAAAGUCUCGUCAUUACAGAAUCAGAAACGAGGAGAUAUCAAGAGAUGACAUGGAGGUUGAAUCUAACGAAGAAUUAAGAAAUGGAGCUAAAGGGGACAAAAAUAAAACACAAUGUCACCGUGAAAGUAGAAAAGAGGAGAGAUCAACUGAUGUUUCGGAGAAUAAACCUGAUAAAGAUAUGGAAAGUAAAGCUAAAGCGGAUAGAAAUGAUAAAUCGAGUCAUCCCAAAAGCAGAAAUGAUGAGAUAUCAAGAGCUGACGUUGAAGUUCAACCAGAGAAGAGCUCUCGGAGAAAGGAGACAUCUUCAGGCACAGAAAAGAGGAAAUCUGACACUGAAACUAAAAGAAAGCAACGCCCAGCUGGUUAUGAGAAAGAUAGUUCUGAGGUUGAUGGGAAUGCUGUAAAGAAACAGGAUUCCGGAAAAAGAUACGACUCAGAAACUUCGGGAAGAAAAGGUAGAAGGGAGUCAUCUCCAUCUCACUAUGAUGAAGAGAGGCCAAAAAGAAGAAGGUCAAGGAGUCGUGAAAAAAGGGAUAAAGAUAGGAGGUCAAUUUCUGAUUUGCCUAGGGCUCACAAGCGUACUUCUUAUCAGGAGCGGGAGCAUGAGUCAUCUAGGAAGUCGUAUCUUGAUGCUGAUAAGAAUAAAAUGUCAAGCAAUAGUGGGUAUGGAAGUAGUCAUUAUCAUCGUCAUGGUGGGCAUGAAAGUAGGCUUGGUGGCUAUUCCCCUAGGAAGAGAAGAACGGACUCUGCUGUUAAGACGCCUUCUCCUACUGCCCGUUCUCCAGAGAGGAAAAGUGCUGGUUGGGAUCUCCCACCUACAGGAACUGACAAAAGCUCUGCUGGUUCCAUUCUCUCAAACAUACAAAACUCUGAUCAAAUCUUAUCCUCCAGUGUAAAUGAGGUGCCUGCUGCUGUUCUUGUUAAAUCAAAUUCAGCAACGAAAAAAGCUGUAUUUUCUGGGUCUUCCUCAAGUACCCUAUCAGCGUCAAAGAAUUCCACUGCUGAUAACGUUCAACCAACAUCUCCAAGGAGAAGACUUCUUGUAGAGAAUGUACCAACUUCAGCCUCUGAUAAAUAUGUAAUGGAGUGUUUCAAUAACUUUUUUCUGUCAUCAGAUGCUUAUCACAUUCAAGGAACCCUGCCAUGCAUUCGCUGUUCUAUGAAUAAAGAGAAGCGGCAAGCUCUUGUGGAAUUUCUUACACCAGAAGGUGCCACAACAGCCCUCUCUUUUGAUGGUAGACUCUUCUCUGGAUCUAUUCUCAAAGUUAGACGCCCGAAGGACUUCGCGGAAUCAGCAACUGGUGUCUCACAGAAGCCAAUGGCAGUUGUUGAUGAAAUAUCUGACAUUGUAAAGGACUCACCAAACAAGAUAUUUAUUGGUGGAAUUGCGAAGGUUCUUUCGUCUGAUAUGGUAAAGGAGAUUGCUAGUGCCUUUGGAGCAUUGAGAGCUUAUCAUUUUGAGGUUAAUGAAUCUGCCAGUGAAGCAUGUGCUUUUUUAGAGUAUGUGGACAAGUCAAUUACUCUCAAAGCAUGUGCUGGAUUAAAUGGGAUGAAGUUAGGAGGGGAAGUCUUAACUGUUGUCCAAUCUACUCCUGAUGCAUCUAUUGCUGGGGGCAUUGAAGAGCCACCACGUUAUGCGAUUCCUGAGCAUGCAAAGCCUCUACUUUCGAAGGCCACAAAAGUUCUGAAGCUACAAAAUGUGUUGAAUGAGGAGGAACUAUCAACUCUAUCGGGACAAGAAGUGGAAGAAGUGUUCGAAGAUGUACGCUUGGAGUGUGCAAGGUAUGGCGCCGUAAAAUCUAUUAAUAUUGUAAGGAAUGUUAACAGGCCCACCGCAGCUCCUGGUGAAAUCAUCAAUCUGGCUAGUCUGGUGAGUUCUUCACCUCAAAUAGAGGAUAGAUGUAGCCUGAAGAAAGUGGAGCCCACAGGUGUAGAAGUUGAUCCGAACUUUGGAGAAACUAGUGGACCAGUGGCUCUAGGUGAUGUCAGAGAAACCCUAGUAGAUGGGGCAGAUACAGCAAAUUGUAGUCCUUGCCAUGCCGAAAAUGAGGAAGAUAAUCUGGAUACUAUUGUUCCUACAAGUGACCUUGGCUGUGAUACAGUAUUUCAAGAAUCCCCCUCCCAACUAGAUAAAAGCAAAAAUCAAUUUUCGCAAACUAUUAACAGUAGUGAUGAUUUUCCUUUGCGUAGCAACUCAUGCACUGAAAACAGUACAGCCGUUGAGGAGGAAGAAAUGAAACUAGAAGAAGCAGGCCUUAAAUUGCAGGAAGCUUCGAUAGCAUUGAAUGAUACUUCUUGUGCAAAGGAUUCAAGUACCCAAGACAAUAACAAAAACAUCGACAUGACUGAUGAUUUUGAAGUAGGGUGCAUUCUUGUGGAGUAUGCAAGAACAGAAACCUCGUGUGUAGCAGCACACUGCCUACAUGGACGACUCUAUGGGGAUAAAACUGUGGCAGUGGGCUAUGUUGACCAUGACCAGUACAUGUCUAGAUUCCCCAAAUGAGGAUUUGUAAAUAGUGGUUUUUUAUUUGGUCUAGUGGCUUGUCAUACAUAGCGUUAAAUUUAGUAGAUGCCAUUUUUGGAUAGUUGUACUCUUGUAAACGACGGUCUCACAUUUUCGAAGUCUUCCCGAUUUCAAAGAAGGAUGGUAUUUGGGUACUCCACUCUUCUUUGACAAAUAUUGUAAAAAUGCAGCCAUGGAUGGAAUAACUGAAACAUGAGGAAGAAGCCGAAGCAAAGAAGCAGGAUUAUGUUCUCGUUCCUUUUUAUGUUUGUUGCAGGUAAUCUGAAAGUUGUUUAUGCUUCUUGAUUAGUUGCUGAAAUUUGGAGCUGUUGCAGGUAAUCUGAAAGUUGUUUAUGCUUCUUGAUUAGUUGCUGAAAUUUGGAGCUCCUGAAACUCUGUUAUCGGACUAGAGUCACUAAACAGCUAGUUGCUCUUUUAGUAUUUGGUCUUAAAGGUCUUACUGAGGUUAGCAUUUUGCCAAGUUAGUUUUUAAUUUGAGGAUCUUACUUUGUUGUUAUGUUACGUGUUCAUAAAGUGAGAAAAAUAGCAUACUGCAUCUCGACUUGUGAAUCUAGAAGGGCCAUAAUUUAGUAUAUGCAGUAAAAAUGCGAAUAAUACAUCAUGAAAAUGGUUUCUUCUCAUGUUCACUCACUAGUUCCAGCCUAAUUCGGAUUUGGUUUCGUAAAUUGAUAAGGGUUGGUACAUUUGUCUUUAACCAAGUAGAACCCACAAACCAUCAGAUCAACCUGCAGAUCAAACAAUAAAUUAGGUGUGUGGUUCGUAUCAACUGGGUAUGCUAUAGACAUGACAACAACCGUCUAGUAACAAAAUAGUUGGACAGAUUAUACAGUUGUUAAGGAGCUAGUUACACUCUGAAGAUUUUGCCUUAAUUCAGAUUUUUGCUCUUAAAUAGCUAUUUACACUCAGAUUUUUAUCUUAAAGAGCUAUCUUGAUUCAGAUUUUUUUCUCUUAAAAAACUAUCUUGAUUUAGUUGUUGCUCUUAAAGAGGUAUCUUGAUACGGCAGUUCUUUUAAAUCUUCUUCUUUGAUCUCAUCAUCAUCUGAUAUUUUUCUGAUUUCAUCAUAUAAUUUGGAUUGAAUGUCUUGAUGUUUCACUAAAUUAGCCAUAACCCAUUGUAAAGCUGUUGACGUAGUACCAGCACCUGCAGUGAAAAACUCAGAACAUAAAGUAACAAUUUCAUCUUCUGUCAAUUUUCUUCCACCUUCAUCAGGUAAUUCAAGAUUCAACAGUGAAUCAACAUAACAUAAACAUAAAACUUUCUCAUGAUUUUCAACCGUUUUCUUCUUCAUUUGUUCUUCUUGUCUUGAUCUAAUUAGUGGAAUUAGUACCUUUUCUUGAUCAGUUCUCAGCUUAUUCAUUUCAUCUCAUUUUCUCUUGAAAAUUAUUUUAGUCAAUCUGGGGUAAAAGUUCAGGAAAAAAAAGUACUAAACUUUUCUGAACGGAUUCAACUUCUCUAAUUCUUUUGUCUUCGAGUUUUUCCCCAAAGCACAUGUAAACCAGUAAACAAAACAUACCAAAUUGAAAAUGAUCAGCAGGAUUUUUCCCUGAUUUCGAUUCUGUUUUUAUACUUCCUUUGAUCUGUUCCAAAACCCAUUUUCGAGCUGGUGAGAAUGAUUUGAUCUUUGAAGGAUGAAGAAUCUGAAGACUAAGAUUUCUCCUGAGUAGUCUCCAUAAAGGACCAUCAGAAGCACUGAUAUUAUGUUUGUUACUUGAAAAUCUUUUCAACGUUGCUGCUUCCGGUGGACGGGCAGCAAAAACUGCUCCAUUUCCAAUCAAGGCUUCAUGAGCCAGACUUGAGGUUGUAAUGAAGAUUGAUUUACGAUGACCGAUAGAUAAAAGUUAAGAUAGGUCCAUAUUUUGUUUUCAGAUUUCUAACAGUUGGUUCUAAGUCUGCAAAUGAUUUUCUGAGCCACUGGAAGUUUGUUAUGAUUGGGAUUGAAAAAGGACCAGGUGGUAACUUUGUAGGGGUUUUCAGGAGAUUGAUUACACAUUUUAGGAUUGCACAAAACCAAAGUGUGAUUACGAUUAUCAGCCAAAUGCAUUCUUCCAUUGAUAGGCACAACUUGUGAGGUUAUAUGCUCAUUGAGGACUGUAAGGUUUCAAAGAGUUACAGUCUUUAUAUUAUUACAAUCGCAAUAAUGCUGUGCUAUAUUCCCAACUAAAACAUGGGUCGGCUCGUCUCAGUCACAAUAAUGAUAUACGCAUUCACUGUGGUUGUUGUUGCCAGUAAUUAUCUAGAAAUGCAAAUGUAAAGAGAAAGUUGUUUAGGCUUCAAGAAUCAAGAUUUGUUGCUGAA
This is an RNA transcript of Papaver somniferum (opium poppy), 5780 nucleotides long. RefSeq lists it as uncharacterized. The record is from RefSeq and is a predicted model, not a curated record. The transcript has 11 exons. NCBI's taxonomy places the organism in Eukaryota, Viridiplantae, Streptophyta, Magnoliopsida, Ranunculales, Papaveraceae.